GUGCCUAGUCUGAAGUUGCCUUAGUCCAGGACACAGCCGACCAGGAUGGCUCUAAUAGAGGGGGUGGGUGAUGAGGUCACCCUGCUCUUUGGAGUGGUGUUCCUGGUGCUCGUCCUGGUUCUGGCCUGGGCCUCCACUCACACUGUUGAACCCCCUGAACACCUCCUCUCACCCAGCCCAGGGACCUCCCCCUCCACAGAGACUGACAGCCAGGAGCCGCUCCCCUCAGGUAACACGGACUCGUCACCCAGCGAGAACAGCGAGAACGAUAAGAGUGAACCUGGAACAGAAGCGGGAGCGGCGGGACAGUCCCCGGAUGCUAGUAGGGCUGGAGGAGGUGAGGGAGGCCUCCUGGAAGAAGCAGGGAUUGGGAGGAAUGAGUUGAGACAUCGAGAAUCAGCGGGUCCCUCGACUCAAACUCCAGCCAGCGCCCCAAGUGCCACACAGCCUUUGGCCGAAGAUCCACCGAAUGACACCCAAAGAAACAUGGUGCUCAGGCUGAAGUUCUUGAAUGAUACAGAGAGGACUGCACAGGUGAAUCUUCAAGACACCAUUGGCUACAUUAAACGGACUUACUUUGCUGGACAGGAGCACCAGGUACGUCUGAUUUACCAGGGUCAGCUCCUUCAGGAUGAUGCUCAGACGCUGGCCUCUCUCAACCUGGCCGACAACAGUGUUCUGCACUGCCACAUCUCCCAGCACGCCACACGGGCCAUGCCUGCCGGGGCACGGGCUGCUGACCAGGUGCAUGUGGCGCUCAACAUGGGCAGCCUCAUGGUGCCUCUGUUCGUGCUUAUGCUGUCUGUGCUCUGGUACUUCCAGAUCCAGUACCGGCAGUUCUUCACUGCACCUGCCACCGCCUCACUCGUGGGCAUCACCAUCUUCUUUAGUUUUGUUGCGUUUGGGGUGUAUCGCCGUUGAUGGCUGUUUCUGUCCACUCAUAUUCAGCAUUUACGUGUUUGCGCACAUACAGAUACACAUUCUUUGCACUUGCUCACUCACCAGUGCCAGUGGCAAUGUCUUCUGGGAAUUCUGGACUUUUCAGGUUUGCUGAAGACUGUGAUUUCAGAGAAACAUCUCUGAGGUCGUCUUGUUUUUUUUUGUUUUUUUCCUUGUUUUUUUUUGGUUCAUCACUUUUGCCAUUUUUCAUCUGCACCAAGUUUAUGCUUGUCACGGAUUGAAAUAUGCUAUAUAUUUGAUUUUUAAAAAAAGAAAAAUAGAGAUGAUUGUGCCUGUCCUCUUUUUCUCAUGUGCAUGCUGCCAGUGUGAAACUGGGGCUUGCUUGUAAGAGGGUAUGUGAAUUAAAGGUGUUUGAGUUUCAAGCGGGGCUCGUCUGGCUGUCUGCCAGACUCAAACUGUAGUAAAGCAGUUCAGCUAGAGCUGCUCUUAUGUGUUGGGACAAUUAAAAUAAUUUGUGUACAAUAAGGCUUUUGAAAUGGAGAUAUAAUCUAUUAAAUCAUUCUUUUUAUUUA
Sinocyclocheilus grahami is the source of this 1472-nucleotide RNA transcript. It is a transcript of the gene named transmembrane and ubiquitin-like domain-containing protein 1, with no coding region annotated. Lineage: Eukaryota; Metazoa; Chordata; Actinopteri; Cypriniformes; Cyprinidae. The record is from RefSeq and is a predicted model, not a curated record. The transcript has 3 exons.